GCAGAAGUUUGGGAGUCGGAGAGGGACGAAUUCCCGGGGAGCUAAAGUGUGCUGACGAGGAGCCGGAUCCGCUGGAGGAGGCUGGCGUUUCUGCCUCUCGCAGCGGACCCAACUCCGCGGCGGCGGCUGGCGAACUUUUUGUGAGGCUGGCAGCCCCCGAGCGGUGGGAGGGGCGGGCCCGGCGGGGCGGUGGUCGGGGGCGCGCGGAGGGGAGUUGUGGGAGCCGCCGGGGGCGCCCGAGGAGGGCAGCUGCGGCGGGGAGGGGCAGUGGUCCGAAAAGGGGUUUGUGGGAGGGGAGAAGCGUUCAGGUGGGAAGGAGCCGCUUGGUUACAGUUGUGGGGAGAUACAGGUGUUAACUUCGGUGGGAGCCCAAGAGGCGGCUGGCGAGAACAGAGCCCCUCCCGGCCCGGGAUACCACUGUCACGGCACACUGCAAAGCAGAGCGGUUUGCUGCUAUUCUUGUGCACUUGUAACGGUGAUUUGGUUGUUACUAAAAAUGAGAACGAAUAGUGACUGUGACCACUGAGGAAGAACCCCCCUCCUUUUUAUUUUUUUUUAAUUUUUUAAAACUGUGCAACAGAUCGGUGAUUCCCAGUAAGCACUUAAACUCUGAGGGUCAGGGUUAUCCUUGUCAUUGAACGCACCCGUCUUUCUGAGGGGGUUCAGACCAGAGAAAAAGUCUGAGAGCAUCUCUGAAAGGUACUUUGGUUACCUUGCGCACAGAAAUAGCUGCGUAAAUAAAAACCGAAUGCGCAGGCGACUGAGUUUCCCUCCUUGCUUUAGGCAGUCAGUCUCCCCCUGAAAGUUUCGUGUGCCCUGGGGAUGGGAGCAUUUCCUAAUCUUUGUGUUGGCAGCAACACACUCAAUUCCCAUAGGAUUUAGAGGUAUCAGGCCUUGAUGUAGCAAAGCAAAACAAAACAAAAAAUUAGAGAGGCUGGUUUGUUUUUUUUCCAAGAGAUUUUCUGAGCUGCAUUCAGGAUUUUGUUGCUGUGACAAGGAAUGUAUAAAAGACAUAGAGUUAUAGCCUGGUUAAGAAACGGCAGUUAACUAGAAUUGAAGUUUUGAAAUGCUGUCUCAUUUGUGUGCAUUAAUCAUUUUGUUAUAAUGUGCCUGAUAAAAACAUCUGAAGGAGGAUGUUUUAAUGAUUACAGAAUAUUUGAAUUUCACAUUAGUCAGAGUGAAGGAAUGGAAAUAUAUUGAGGCAUAAUCUUAUUUUGGGGGUGACUGAAUUUGAGAAUCAAAAGUAAUUUUAGAUUUUAGGUGAACUCCCAGGAAGGGGUGAACUUUAGCUGAAUCCCACUCAGUAUCCUGAUGACUGUUUAUUAUUUUUUUUUUAGUUUUAGUUUUUUUAGUUUCUCAGAUAAUAACAAGGAAGUUGGAACUUGUGUAACUGUGGUCCUUUCUAACUCUGAUUCUGUGAUUUCCCAUCAGGAAAACAAGUAAUUGCCACUUUGCUGUCAAAUCUACCAAACUGAACACCAAGUAAGAUCUACUCUUGUGAGCAGAUGAGGGUUCUGCUAGAUGGUGCUAUUUGAUUUAAAUAUGUUUCUUCCAUUCAUUUCAGUUGGCAGCAGGAAUUCUUGACUGGUUUGCCUUAUGAACUAAAUAUAGGUGAAGAGGCCGCUUUUGGAGAAUUGACAAUGACUGUUCUGGGUUAAUUGUCGUUGCAUUAAUUUCUAGGUGAAUGUUGUUUGAAUCUAAGACAAACAUCGAUGUAGGUUCUGUCUUAUAGAAUAAACUUAAUUUCAUUUUGGUGGGAGAGUUGAUCUAAUCUCUUGGUUUUUCUCUUUAUGUUUACUUGGACUUUAAUGGCACUAUUCUGCAACAGUGUACUAACGUCUGAAGGUAGGAAUUUUGAAGUCAUUAAAAUGGAUGUCACCAGAUUUUUGUUCUUAAUUUUUAAGGUAACAGAUUUUAAAAGGUGAAGAAUUCACCUUUAGUAAGCAAAUUAGAACUGUUCUUAUCUUGAAAAUCACAGAAAUAAUUUUUUUUCCGUAACAAAUACGCAUUUUAACAAAAACAUUCUGCAAAAGGAGUCAUUAUUAUAAAUAAUGGCAUGCUUAGGAAAUAAGCACAUUGGUUUUAUAAUCUAUCAAGCAAUGUGUUUUCUGACAUGAGUUCACAGUGAAUUGUUGACAAGUGCUUACCUGUAUUAGAUCUUUGUUUUGUCUUUCAUUAGGAAGUCACUAUAUGAAAUACUUGAAGUGAAUUCUUGGUUUGACAUAAUUCCUAUAAUUUCAGUAUACAGUUCUGAACAUAAAAAUGACCAGGGUAAGAUGAGUUACUUACUCUGUCAUUUUAAGAAAAGCAGAUCAAGUCUUAAUUAUAGAGGGAGUGAUUGAAAACCGUUGGAGGGAGGUGGGAUGUAGAAAUUGUAAUUCUGCUCUUGUUAGGUCAUUUCUUCCUUUAGCAGGCUUUAUAACACUAAUCGCAGUUGUAAUUAAAUAACUAUGGUUGGCUGUUAAUGUCUAACUUUCCCUAAAAUAUAAGUUUCUUGAAGGUAGGAGAUGAUCUAAUUUCUUAUCUGAGGUAUCUUGAACAUUAAGGUGCCUUCUAAUAUCAAAAGCAUCAAUAAUUGUUAUUGAAGAUGUUAGACUCAAAGGAAUUUUUUCAGUGACCUCCAAAAUAAAGACUUGUAAGUUUGAGUUUCACAUUCUCUAGCUUAGUUGUAUUUCAGAAAUACCCCUAAACAACAACACAACAAAAAUAACUAUUAUAUAUAUGCCAUCCUGUGUGCCAGUCACUAUGUUCAGUGUUUUAUGUAUAUAUUUUUUUCUAAUUCUCCCAACAAAUCUACAGGACGGGUGCUUUUAUUUUUUCUCCAUUAAAGAAAUAUGAAAACGAAGGCCCUAAAUGGUUAAAGAACUCACCGAGGGAUACCAUGCUAGAAAAUAGGAAAGCUGGGUUUCUAACACAGAUUUCUCUAACUUUAGAACCUGUGGUUGAAGCUGAAAGAUACAUUUUUCAGUGUACCAGAUUGUCUUCCUGAACUAGGGUAGGAUGCUACAGAUUUAGGGAACGGCAUUACAUAAUCAGAUGUAACAGACUUUAAAGAUUUGAUCAAAUAUGCAAUCUUAACCACUGGUGCACCCUGAUGCUUUGCAGAUAUGUGUAUGGUGUGGGAGAAGGCACAGAAAUUUUAGGAGUGAAAAUUGGAAGCCUAACAUAAUGAAGAAAACUUGUUUCUUCAGAUUCUCCCCCCCCGGAAUUUGGUUUGAUUACUUGUUUUAAAGUUAAACAUAAUAGUUGUGAAUAAUUCCUAUAUGAAAUGUUGCUAAACUUAAAGCCACCCAGUAUGCCACACUGCAGAAAGAGUAACUGGCACCUGCAAAUAGAUGAGUAGUGAUACUAAUUUUUUUUAUUAAACUAAUUUGAUUCUUUAUGUAAUAGCACAGAAAGACGAAUCUGCUAGAAAGCAAAGUUGGACAUAGAAGAUACACAUAGUAUGCGUCGACUUUUAUUUAGUAAACUAGCCAGAAACUACAAGAAUCAAACUAUCUAAUCUUGAGCUCUGAAAAGUAACUUCAGCUUUUAAAUUUUCAAUCUUACUUGAAUAUACGAAGAAGCAAAUACCAUAUGCUUAUUUCAAAGUAGUUAUAGUGUAAUGAACAUUUAAAUGCCACUUCAUAUAAAAGAGUUUAUAGGGAUUAAUAUCUGCCAGCAUCACCUUGUUCUCCCCUUCUACCAUUAAAGUAAUUAAAGCAUUCCCCCAUCAUUAAGGUACCCACUGCAAAGAAAAAUGACAAACCUUUCUUCCUUUCUGAAGGAAUAAGGCGAGAAAAGUAAUAGAGAUCUUUUCAGAAACUUAUUUGACAGCAACUGGCUCAAUUCAGGGUUUCCAAAACUAAUGAAGGAGUAUCUUAUGGAAAUGAAAUUUUGUAUAAAAUAUUAAAUUGCCCCUCCCCCUUUCAGUCUCCAGGAUGUUCCCCCAAAAUACAAGUUGUUUAACUUGUAUCCGAAAUGUCAUAUUAGCUUUUGAUUGAUCGUUCUCUGUUAUUUUAGAAGUAUCAAAAAAAACCCCUAUUUUUAAGGAAGGUAUCUAAAGAAAGAAUCUGUGUAAGAUGUUCAGUUAAGUUUUAGUAUUGUUUAUCCAGAGAUUAAUUGUGAUUCUUAGUAGUAGUAGUAAUAUUGUAAUUUUUUUUCAGAGCUGUGAAAGAAAAAAGUUGAAAGUUUUUAGUUUCAUACUUUCAAAGCCAGUUUGCCACAUAAAACCAAUUUAGGAUGCAGACAGAAUCACUACAUUUUAGUUGUUCUGCAGUAAUAGACCAAAUAUGCCUUUCAUCUUUAAUCACUACUAGAAUUAUUUUGUUUUAAAAUUAGAGCAUACUGUGUGGGGCAGGGGCUGGAAUACCCAGGUUGCAGUUUAUUAAUGUUUAUUAAUAUUUCACCUCAGUAGUUGAGAGUUAAAAGAAAAAUUUGGGGAAAAAACAAUUCAAAUUUAGAAUCUUCUUUCUUCCAUAGAAAUCGCAACCAUUGCAUUAAUCCUGGGACAUAGGAUUAGGACAAAAGUACUGAGUUUGAAAGACAUGGAACUACUGGGAAUAUGUAAUUUAAAAAUAGGAAUUCAAAAUUAUUUUGGAACACAUGAGGUUAUUCUCUAUUGUUGUGUGUAUGUUAUUGCUUUGCCAUUGGUAUGGGAAUUACAGAUUAUAUAUUUGCAUGCUAGUGACGUGAGCCUCUGUAAACAUAUGCUAAAAUAUUAAUAUUAAGAACUUACUGUUUCUGAAAGGGUGGACUUAAAAUAGCAUUGGAGCAAUAGAAUAAGAUUCAUUUGUUAAUAUCUGAAGCAUUUGGAAUAUAAGUAAUAUUCUGAUUUUAAAUGUUAUCAAACUUUAUGUGUAUUUUACAAAUGUAAUGUAUUCAUGCAAGGUUUUGUUAACAUGAGUGUAUAACCUAGCAUAACUUGGACUGUGAGAGUUACUUGACUAUUAGAUUAAAACCCUAUACAUACUACAAAAGGUGAUCUGAAGGGUGGUCCACCAAGAUUAAUGCCUUGCCUGUUUUCAGUAGAGAAAUAGCAGAGGCUCUUUUACAAACUAUAUUUUAUUCCUUGUGUGAGAACAUUAAAAAACACGUGGAAAUAUGGACUACCCAGGGAAGAAUAGAGUUUUUCCAGAUAACUUUAACAUUUCUGAUUGGUCAUAAUUGGUAAACGGUAAUUUUUGUCAUGUAGGUUAAUAGUUAGGAAUUUUUGAAAAGUGGAAGUAUUAAUGUUUUUCUAAUAAUUAUAGGACCAAAAAUUCAUCUGAACUCAAAUCAGCCUGGGCAGUCUCAAUGUAGUGGAGUAAUUAAUAUUUAUUGUUUUGUUCAUUUUUUAAAGACAAACUUCAGUCGGUGUCACUUCUUUAGAAAUGACAAAACUACUCUCAUCUUUUCCUUUAAGAAUGUUAAUUACAUUUCAUGUAUGACCCUAAACAGCUUUCAGACAAUAAUGAGCCAUUGUUAACAUUUUAAAUCACAGUUCAGCUAGAGUGAGCAUAAACGAAUGACCUGGCAAUCUCCUAUUUUUGAUCUUUUCUGUUAAUUUUGCUUCAUGGCUAUAAUGUCAAACAAGUAGUUCAGCCCAGAAAAAAAAUUGUAGAGGCUAAAAUAUAGACUUUUGUGUUUUUUUCUAGUUUUAAGUAUUUUUGUAAUUGUAGGUGUUAAAGAGUAUGGUUGUAAUUACAAAUAUAGCUUUAUUUUUAAUUAGUUUUGAAUCUACAGCAUAUUAAAAUACUGAUGAAAUAUUUGUAAAGGCAAGAAUAAUAGAUGAAAAUAUAUGUGGCUCUGUCCAUGUAAGGUGAGGAGGAAUUGAUGCCAGAAAAAGGCUCUUACCUGAAAUUAAUAUGAUUUAUUUUAGUGAUCUGAUAUUUGCCUGAUUCUCCUUUUAUCUAUUUUAGAUAAGAAAAAACCAAGAGCUGCUUUAUUAAUGGAAGAAAUCUAAGUAAAUAUUCUAUUAAAAAUGAUCUCAUUUUAAGUAGGAUUAAACUUCAAUUUGGAGUGCUGGAUUAGGGGUAGGGAAAGGUAAGGUUUUUUUUGCUUUUAUACCUCUCUCUAACAAGGGAGGAAAAGUCUUUCAGUAUGAAUUGUUGAGAGAAUGUUCUUUUUCUUUUUUAAUGUGGUAAAAUAUAUGUAACCUAAAAUUUACCAUUUUAACGAUUUUUAGGUGUACAGUUCGGUGGCAUUAAGUGCAUUCAUAUUACGGUACAGCCAUUGCCAUUCUCCAUCUCUAGAACUUUUUCAUGUUUCCGGACUGAAACUCUGCACCCAUUAAACAAUCACUCCCCACUCUCGCCUUCUCUGUGCCCUUGACAACUACCAUUCUAUUUUCUGUCUCCAAGAAUUUGACUCGUCAAGGUAUCUCAUAUAAGUGGGAUCAUACAGUAUUUGUCUUUUUGUGGCUGGCUGCUUUUGAUAGCUUAAUCCCUAUAGCAACUUCGUAAAGUAGAUAUAAUCCCCAUUUUACAUAUGGAGAAACUGAGUCUCAGAGGUUGUGUAUUUUGUCCAGGGCCACAGAGUAAAUUGUAUAGUCUGGAUUCAAACUCAGGUUUCUGACUGCACUGCUCAUUUUAACUAUGUUGACUCAGUAUAUUUCAUCGCUUAACAUGGGGGAGAAAUUGUAAUGGAAGUUGUGGGAGGUGGCCUGAAGGUGCUAUGGGAUUCCUGAAAAAAGGCAUUGAAUCUAGCCUAGGGCUGUGAGACUGUCAGGAAAUAUUUCUAAGAGGAUGUUUAUUGAGAGGCUAGCAUUAGUCAACUUGGAAGAUGAGGCAAGUAAAGGGUAUUCUAGCCAGAGAGAGAAGCAUGUACAGCAACAUGAAGGCAUUAAAAGGUAUGAUAUAUUUGGUGAACUACAAUAAAGCUCAUAGGGAUAAAUCUGGCAGAUUGAAUACGAGCUAUUUCAAGAACAGCCUUAAAUGACAACUUGACUUGGGAGAUAAGCAUAUUUUUGUUUUUGUUUUUGUUUUUUGGAGACGGCGUCUCACUCUUGUCACCAGGCUGGAGUGCAAUGGUGUGAUCUCGGUUCACCGAAACCUCCACCUCCUGGGUUCAAGC
This is a non-coding RNA of Macaca mulatta (Rhesus monkey), 7032 nucleotides long. The record is from RefSeq and is a predicted model, not a curated record. NCBI's taxonomy places the organism in Eukaryota, Metazoa, Chordata, Mammalia, Primates, Cercopithecidae.